Molecule: long non-coding RNA, 216 nt
Filed under: Phaseolus vulgaris (common bean)
Lineage: Eukaryota; Viridiplantae; Streptophyta; Magnoliopsida; Fabales; Fabaceae
Description: long non-coding RNA (PVUL_LNC002295)
Source: RNAcentral
CAACAUAUCUGAGGUGAAAGUAGCCUGCUGGAUUGUCUAUGAAAAAUCCUUUACUACAGAUGAAAUCUGUAGCUUAGUACCAUCUGCACUACCACAUUUAAAGGAUCCCACCCCAUAAUCUUCAACCAAAUUUCUUGGCAACAUUAAUAUCCAAGAAAUUGUGUGUACUCCCACUAUCUAUUAAGACAUGAAUAGGCCUUUUGUUAUGAUAACCAG